Molecule: unclassified non-coding RNA, 168 nt
Filed under: soil metagenome
Description: partial contains 5.8S ribosomal RNA, internal transcribed spacer 2, and large subunit ribosomal RNA
Source: RNAcentral
AACCAUUCUCACCUGCGGCUAGACCUGCGGAAGGAUCAUAACUGGUUAAACUUUAUAAACACCAGAGUUUCAAACUCUGUGUUUGCAAACAAAAAACACCCUUCAAAACAGCUAUUCAGUGUCUGAAUUAACUAGUUUAAUAUAAAAACAACUUUCAACAAUGGAUCU